This 376-nucleotide ribosomal RNA is filed under the name uncultured bacterium. RNAcentral describes it as "bacterial SSU rRNA". It matches the Rfam family "Bacterial small subunit ribosomal RNA", at positions 524 to 898 of the family's 1533-position model. The record is from RNAcentral.
UACAGAGGUGGCAAGCGUUGUUCGGAAUUACUGGGCGUAAAGGGCGCGUAGGCGGUCCUACAAGUCCCGCGUGAAAGCCCCCGGCUCAACUGGGGAAUGGCGCGGGAAACUGUUGGGCUUGAGUUCGGGAGAGGGAAGCGGAAUUCCGGGUGUAGCGGUGAAAUGCGUAGAUAUCCGGAGGAACACCGGUGGCGAAGGCGGCUUCCUGGACCGACACUGACGCUGAGGCGCGAAAGCUAGGGGAGCAAACGGGAUUAGAUACCCCGGUAGUCCUAGCUGUAAACGAUGAGUGCUGGGUGUAGGGGGUAUCAACCCCCCCUGUGCCGAAGCUAACGCAUUAAGCACUCCGCCUGGGGAGUACGGUCGCAAGGCUGAA